GCGAGCGGCGGACGGGUGAGUAACACGUGGGUAACCUGCCCAAGAGACUGGGAUAACACCUGGAAACAGAUGCUAAUACCGGAUAACAACACUAGACGCAUGUCUAGAGUUUGAAAGAUGGUUCUGCUAUCACUCUUGGAUGGACCUGCGGUGCAUUAGCUAGUUGGUAAGGUAACGGCUUACCAAGGCAAUGAUGCAUAGCCGAGUUGAGAGACUGAUCGGCCACAUUGGGACUGAGACACGGCCCAAACUCCUACGGGAGGCAGCAGUAGGGAAUCUUCCACAAUGGACGAAAGUCUGAUGGAGCAACGCCGCGUGAGUGAAGAAGGGUUUCGGCUCGUAAAGCUCUGUUGGUAGUGAAGAAAGAUAGAGGUAGUAACUGGCCUUUAUUUGACGGUAAUUACUUAGAAAGUCACGGCUAACUACGUGCCAGCAGCCGCGGUAAUGCGUAGGUGGCAAGCGUUGUCCGGAUUUAUUGGGCGUAAAGCGAGUGCAGGCGGUUCAAUAAGUCUGAUGUGAAAGCCUUCGGCUCAACCGGAGAAUUGCAUCAGAAACUGUUGAACUUGAGUGCGGAAGAGGAGAGUGGAACUCCAUGUGUAGCGGUGGAAUGCGUAGAUAUAUGGAAGAACACCAGUGGCGAAGGCGGCUCUCUGGUCUGCAACUGACGCUGAGGCUCGAAAGCAUGGGUAGCGAACAGGAUUAGAUACCCUGGUAGUCCAUGCCGUAAACGAUGAGUGCUAAGUGUUGGGAGGUUUCCGCCUCUCAGUGCUGCAGCUAA
Molecule: ribosomal RNA, 778 nt
Filed under: uncultured bacterium
Lineage: Bacteria
Description: bacterial SSU rRNA
Rfam family: Bacterial small subunit ribosomal RNA
Source: RNAcentral